AGAGUUUGAUCCUGGCUCAGAAUGAACGCUGGCGGCAGGCCUAACACAUGCAAGUCGAACGGGUGCCUUCGGGUACUAGUGGCGGACGGGUGAGUAACACGUGGGAACAUGCCCCUUGGUACGGAAUAGUCUCGGGAAACUGGGGGUAAUACCGUAUGAGCUCGAAAGAGGAAAGAUUUAUCGCCAAGGGAUUGGCCCGCGUUGGAUUAGGUAGUUGGUGGGGUAAUGGCCUACCAAGCCGACGAUCCAUAGCUGGUUUGAGAGGAUGAUCAGCCACACUGGGACUGAGACACGGCCCAGACUCCUACGGGAGGCAGCAGUGGGGAAUCUUAGACAAUGGGCGCAAGCCUGAUCUAGCCAUGCCGCGUGAGCGAUGAAGGCCUUAGGGUUGUAAAGCUCUUUCAGUGGGGAAGAUAAUGACUGUACCCACAGAAGAAGCCCCGGCUAACUCCGUGCCAGCAGCCGCGGUAAA
This 472-nucleotide ribosomal RNA is filed under the name uncultured bacterium. RNAcentral describes it as "bacterial SSU rRNA". It matches the Rfam family "Bacterial small subunit ribosomal RNA", at positions 8 to 524 of the family's 1533-position model. The record is from RNAcentral.